UUUUUUUUUUUUUUUUUUUUUUUUUUUUUUACAAUUAAGUAGAGUCAAGGGAGGAAUAGCAAUUUGCAAGGUCUUUUGAUGUCAGCCCAAAUAAGGAUUUAUAGAUUGUCCCUUCUGUGUAAGGAGCUGAGUAGACAAAAACAAAUAUCUUGUUGCCAGAAGAGCUCAUGCUUCUAGAAGGAAUUAUUUUCAUUUAAACAUUUGGGUCUCCCUCUCACUUUUAUAAACAUCUUAUUUAAGGCCAGCUCCAGGUGGAAGUCCUGCCUUCUGUCUUUAUAAAGAAAAUGCUUUCAUAGAGUGGACACUUAACAUAUAUAAACUUUCUCAACUAUGUAUGUAUGUAUGUAUGUAUGUAUGUAUGUAUUGCCUUUGAAUUAUCCUUUCUGGAGGAGAUACUAGAUCAAAGUACCGUAAUGAUCUCCCAGUUGAUCCAAGUGAAAUCUCCUUUUGUUUGUUCCAGACCUCUACUUCUGUUUAGAUUUCAUUUCUUUUUAUUUUUUGCCUCAAGUGAAAUAAAGUCCAAUUUUUAUUGAGAGGAACUAGUGUAUUCCUAGUCAUUACUAUUCUAAAUGAUUUCACUGUUUUCACCACAUCAGUUGUGUUGACAUGAGUACCAGUAAUGUGGUAAUAAAGUUCCUAAUGGAUCAUACUGGAAAUAUCACGUUAUACCCAAGAACCUUCCUUGGCUGCUUGCCAAACAGAAGUAGGCAUAGGUUCUUUAGAGUAAUUGAUGAUGUUUGCAGAUGGAGGACACAUUAUUUCGGGCAGUCAUUCUAUAAAUAUGCUCUGGUACUGUAUGGUUUGGCUCUGUGUCCCCUCCCAAAUCUCAUCUUGAAUUAUAAUCCCUACAUGUCAAUGGAGGGACCUGGUAGGAGGUGACUGGAUCACAGGGGCAGUAUCCCCCAUGUUGUUCUCAUAAUAGUGAGGGAGUCCACACGAAAUCUGGUGGUUUAAAAGUGGCAGUUGCCCCUGAGCUCUUUCUCUCUCCUGUCACCUUGUGAAGAAGGUACUUGCUUCCCCUUUGCCUUCCACCAUGAUUAUAAGUUUCCUGAGGCCUUCCCAGUCAUGUGGAACUGUGAGUCAAUUAAACCUCUUCCCUUUAUAAAGUACCCAGUCUCAGAUAGUUCUUACAGCAGUGUGAAAACGGACUUAUAUAGGUACAUUUCUUUGUGUGUAUGCAGUCUUUUUCUUCUAGCUAAUUUCUGUCUGGUGGAGAAGAAACAUUUGUAUGUCAGUAGUGGAGUCAUGUGCCAAGUGCUAUAGUCAGAAGGAGAGAGGGAACUAUGAUCUCCAUGUGAAAUGGGGAGGAAGAUGGUUAGAUUUUCAAAGGCAUCACAGGAAAAGUCUCAUGUGAUUUAGGGUUAAAGGCCAAGUGGGUAUUCACUAGGCAGAAAAUUUAGGGGACAGUGUUGGGAUUAGACAGAACUUGGGAAACUAGAUAUAAGUAUUUUGAUGUGACUUCACAGUAAAAUGUAUAGUACAGAGUAUCAGAAGAUAAUGUUAAAAGGAUAGUUUGAGCCAAGUCUUGAUCUGUUUCCCAUUGCAGUAAGAGAAAGCUUAUAUAUCUUUUUCAAUGAAUGUGAUUAAUAAAUAAUCCUACAUAGAUUAUGUCACUCAUUCUCAAGGUUUAUACUAUCACCUGUGUUGGUGACUUCCAAAUUUGUAUUUCUAGUCCUGGGCUAGAGAUCCUCUUUGUCUUCUGGCCAUCAGCAUUUUGAUGUUUAUCAGCUCUUGCAAAGUCUGCACCCGCAAAGUAAACUCAUUACCUUCCCUUCAAAAUCUUGGCUCUGUCCAAAUUUCCUAGUUUGGUGAAUAGCCCCAGCUUUCAAAAAAUUAUCCAUAAAUACUCCCUUCUCUUGAACCCUCUCAAUAUUUUCCAAUAUCUAAACACUCAACAAUUCUUGGCUUACUUAUUUGUUAAAUUGUUCUGAAUAUUAUUGUCUCCUUUCCAUCCCCAUUUCUUGUAGUAUCUUUUUUUUGGAUUGUCAUUAUUUUCUCUUUCAAUUACUGCAGCAACAUCUUAACUGAAUUCUACACCUUUCUGAUCAGUUCUUGCUCCGUUAACACAUUGAUCUUUCUCAAAUUGAUCACAUCAGUGAUUUUGCUAGUAAAUUUUUCGUAAGUCCUUGCUUGCUUUAGUAUAAAAUCCUAAAACACUUAGCAUGACAUUUAAGCCCUUAUGAUUUGAGCCUUGCCCACUUGUCCAGCUUCAUGGGACCCAUGGCCAGUCCCUUACCCUUUUCUAGCCUUAUUGAAUAACUUGAAGAUUCCUAAAAUUUCCAAAGUUUGUUAGUCUUCUGGGUAUUUUCCUGUUCCUGUUCCUGUUUCCAUGCUUCUUACCCUGUCAACUCAUUUCUCUUAACCUCUGCCGUUACUCAAGUUGGGGUAAAGUGUUUCCACAAUUGUAUGGUGAUAAAUUAUUUACUCUUCUCUGUCUCAACUAGACUGCAGGCUCCUCAAUGCCAGGCACCAUGUUUCAUUCAUGUCUGCCACAUUUUCAAUGCUUAGCUUCAUGUCUGGCACAGAAUUAUAGCAAAAAUAAUAGUGUUUACUGAGCACUUAUUGUAUACCAGACAAGGUGCUAAUUUGUUUACAUACAUUAUUUCCUUUAAAGGAGAAGAAAUCAAUCUAUGCUUUGGAAAGGUAAUGUGGCAAAAAAAAAAAAAAAAA
RNAcentral lists this long non-coding RNA (2670 nucleotides) under Homo sapiens (human). RNAcentral's name for it is "novel transcript, sense intronic to SNCAIP". The record is from RNAcentral. Lineage: Eukaryota; Metazoa; Chordata; Mammalia; Primates; Hominidae.